RNAcentral lists this long non-coding RNA (199 nucleotides) under Elaeis guineensis (African oil palm). RNAcentral describes it as "long non-coding RNA (EGUI_LNC048886)". Lineage: Eukaryota; Viridiplantae; Streptophyta; Magnoliopsida; Arecales; Arecaceae. The record is from RNAcentral.
AUGGCUAAUCUGAAGAAUCUCACUAGAUGGAGACUCUACUAAAGAGUACCACUGGACAGAGACUCUGCUGAAGAGUCCCAUUAGACUUGGACUCUAUCAUUAAUGAAAGAUUAAUAAGUAAUUAGAUCACUAAUUAGCUUAAUUUGAUUGAGCAUUAAAGUCUGGAUCAAGUUUGAUUGAAUUGGAUUCAAUCAGAUCA